This 2403-nucleotide ribosomal RNA is filed under the name Picnochile fallaciosa. RNAcentral describes it as "SSU rRNA". It matches the Rfam family "Eukaryotic small subunit ribosomal RNA". The record is from RNAcentral. Lineage: Eukaryota; Metazoa; Arthropoda; Insecta; Coleoptera; Carabidae.
UUGUCUCAAAGAUUAAGCCAUGCAUGUCUCAGUACAAGCCAUAAAUAAGGUGAAACCGCGAAAGGCUCAUUAAAUCAGUUAUGGUUCCUUAGAUCGUACCACAUUUACUUGGAUAACUGUGGUAAUUCUAGAGCUAAUACAUGCAAACAGAGCUCUAACCGGAGACGGAAGGAGUGCUUUUAUUAGAUCAAAACCAAUUGUGACGUCACUGGGCUCCAUAUAGACUUCUGUAUCUUUGCGUACGUUUCUAUAUGUCCUGGUGUUUGCGUUCACACACAAAUACUGGUGAAUCUGAAUAACUUGCUGAUCGCAUGGUCUAGUACCGGCGACGCAUCUUUCAAAUGUCUGCCUUAUCAACUUUCGAUGGUAGGAUCUGCGCCUACCAUGGUUGUAACGGGUAACGGGGAAUCAGGGUUCGAUUCCGGAGAGGGAGCUUGAGAAACGGCUACCACAUCCAAGGAAGGNAGCAGGCGCGCAAAUUACCCACUCCCAGCACGGGGAGGUAGUGACGAAAAAUAACGAUACGGGACUCAUCCGAGGCCCCGUAAUCGGAAUGAGUACACUUUAAAUCCUUUAACGAGGAGCAACUGGAGGGCAAGUCUGGUGCCAGCAGCCGCGGUAAUUCCAGCUCCAGUAGCGUAUAUUAAAGUUGUUGCGGUUAAAAAGCUCGUAGUUGAAUUUGUGUCUCGCGCUGUCGGUUCAUCGCCUGCGUGCGGUGUUAACUGGCACGCCGCGGGACGUCUUGCCGGAAGGACCGGUAUGUGUUUUUCAACGUGUCAUUCUUAACGUCCAUAUUACAUAAAAUAUUUUCAUUUAUAAAAUAUUUGAUUGUUGUAUGUUUGUGUGUGUAUAUAUGUUAUUUGUGUUUGGUGUUUUGUGUGGCGUGUGUGUGUUGNNAAUGNNAUAUGGUGUGUNAAUGUUUUUUCCGUUUGUAAUUAAUCGGUUUUAGUGNNGCACNCAAUNAAACAUANAUAUAUUAUACAGNCACACACACACACACACAUACAUCUACAUAUUUUCAUAUUUUACCACACAUUACCACACACAUCAUUAUUUAUAAGAAUGGAUUUAUUGUAUUUGGCUCCGUUAUGCUUUGGCCGGCUUAGUGCAUACGUAGUCCGACUUUCAAUCCUGUCUAGGUGCUCUUAAUUGAGUGUCGUGGCGGGCCGGCACGUUUACUUUGAACAAAUUAGAGUGCUUAAAGCAGGCUAUUGUUGCCUGAAUACAGUGUGCAUGGAAUAAUGGAACAGGACCUCGGUUCUAUUUUGUUGGUUUUCGGAAUUUCGAGGUAAUGAUUAAUAGGGACAGAUGGGGGCAUUCGUAUUGCGACGUUAGAGGUGAAAUUCUUGGANCGUCGCAAGACGAACUUAAGCGAAAGCAUUUGCCAAAGAUGUUUUCAUUAAUCAAGAACGAAAGUCAGAGGUUCGAAGGCGAUCAGAUACCGCCCUAGUUCUGACCAUAAACGAUGCCAGCUAGCGAUCGGCCGACGUUCCUCCGAUGACUCGGUCGGCAGCUUCCGGGAAACCAAAGCCUUUGGGUUCCGGGGGAAGUAUGGUUGCAAAGCUGAAACUUAAAGGAAUUGACGGAAGGGCACCACCAGGAGUGGAGCUUGCGGCUUAAUUUGACUCAACACGGGAAACCUCACCAGGCCCGGACACCGGAAGGAUUGACAGAUUGAGAGCUCUUUCUUGAUUCGGUGGGUGGUGGUGCAUGGCCGUUCUUAGUUGGUGGAGCGAUUUGUCUGGUUAAUUCCGAUAACGANCGAGACUCUAGCCUACUAACUAGACGUACAUACUCGAAUUUCGAGAGCCCGGUAUUCCGAGGGUCGCUUCCGCUUCUUCUGGCCGUCGUUCGUGCGCGUCUUGUGCGUUGUUUAUAUAUUGUUGUGAAUCUUUAAAGUAACGGUACGUGUAUUGUCUUGUACAUUACCUCCGUGCCGUCUUUAAGUUUCACACAUAUGUGGACCGUACUUGCUCGUGUCGACGGCGAUACUAGUUGCUUGCGGGCGAUCUUUACUACCGGCGUACAUAUAAAUCUUCUUAGAGGGACAGGCGGCUUCUAGCCGCACGAGAUUGAGCAAUAACAGGUCUGUGAUGCCCUUAGAUGUUCUGGGCCGCACGCGCGCUACACUGAAGGAAUCAGCGUGUCUUCCCUGGCCGAGAGGUCCGGGUAAUCCGCUGAAACUCCUUCGUGCUAGGGAUUGGGGCUUGCAAUUAUUCCCCAUGAACGAGGAAUUCCCAGUAAGCGCGAGUCAUAAGCUCGCGUUGAUUACGUCCCUGCCCUUUGUACACACCGCCCGUCGCUACUACCGAUUGAAUGAUUUAGUGAGGUCUUCGGACUGGUACUCGGCCGACGUUUCGACGUCGCCGACGCUGCUGGAAAGAUGACCGAACUUGAUUAUUU